Molecule: ribosomal RNA, 238 nt
Filed under: uncultured bacterium
Lineage: Bacteria
Description: partial small subunit ribosomal RNA
Rfam family: Bacterial small subunit ribosomal RNA
Source: RNAcentral
AGGAUAAACGCUGGCGGCGUGCCUGACACAUGCAAGUCGAACGCCCUACGCAAGUAGGGAGUGGCGGACGGGUGAGGAACACGUGGAUACCUACCCCCUGGUGAGGAAUACCGGCGAGAAAUCGCCGACAAUACCGCAUACGUUUGCUCACGCAAACAAAGCCUUCGUAAGAGGGCGCCAGAGGAUGGGUCUGCGCCUGAUUAGCUAGCUGGUGGGGUAAUGGCCUACCAAGGCGACG